RNAcentral lists this long non-coding RNA (383 nucleotides) under Vigna radiata. RNAcentral describes it as "long non-coding RNA (VRAD_LNC009431)". The record is from RNAcentral. Lineage: Eukaryota; Viridiplantae; Streptophyta; Magnoliopsida; Fabales; Fabaceae.
AAUCACACUAUCUGCUAUGUCUUGCUUACUGUCAUCAACUUUCCCAUUUUCUUUUCCUGAUGCAGUUCCUGCCUCAUCCACUUCUUGGGGUUUUUCAGUGCCCUCCUGCUCCUCAGGUUUCUCAGUCACAUCCUCCUUCUCUUGGGGUUUUUCAGUUACCUCCUCCUCAGUAUUCAAAGCUUCCCCUGCAAUUUUCUCCUCUGACUCUACCAACAAUGCUUCUUCUCCUCCCUCAGGUUUUUCAGCUGUUGCAUUUUGCACUUCAGCAUUACUGUUAUCAAUCUCCUCUGUAUCAGUCAUUUUUUUGUUGUUGUUAUCAGUUUCAUCAGGAUCUGGUUUCGAUUCUUCAGUGGCGGGUUCGUUUUCUUUGCUAUCCUUCUUUG